AUAUCAAUAAGCGGAGGAAAAGAAACUAACAAGGAUUCCCCUAGUAACUGCGAGUGAAGCGGGAAAAGCUCAAAUUUAAAAUCUGGUAGUCUUUGGCUGCCCGAGUUGUAAUCUAGAGAAGCAUUAUCCGCGUCGGACCGUAUACAAGUUUUCCUGGAACGGAGCGUCAUAGAGGGUGAGAAUCCCGUCUUUGAUACGGACUACCGAGGCUUUGUGAUGUGCUCUCAAAGAGUCGAGUUGUUUGGGAAUGCAGCUCUAAAUGGGUGGUAAAUUCCAUCUAAAGCUAAAUAUUGGCGAGAGACCGAUAGCGAACAAGUACCGUGAGGGAAAGAUGAAAAGAACUUUGGAAAGAGAGUUAAACAGUACGUGAAAUUGUUGAAAGGGAAACGCUUGAAGUCAGUCGCGUUUGCCGGGGAUCAGCCUUGCUUCUGCUUGGUGUACUUCCUGGUUGACGGGUCAGCAUCAAUUUUGACCGGUGGAUAAAGGUCAAGGGAAUGUGGCACCUUCGGGUGUGUUAUAGCCCUUGGCUGCAUACAUCGGUUGGGAUUGAGGAACUCAGCACGCCGCAAGGCCGGGUCUUUUUGAUCACGUACGUGCUUAGGAUGCUGGCAUAAUGGCUUUAAUCGA
This 627-nucleotide ribosomal RNA is filed under the name uncultured fungus. Its description in RNAcentral is "eukaryotic LSU rRNA". It matches the Rfam family "Eukaryotic large subunit ribosomal RNA", at positions 40 to 647 of the family's 3401-position model. The record is from RNAcentral. Lineage: Eukaryota; Fungi.